Molecule: long non-coding RNA, 244 nt
Organism: Acanthochromis polyacanthus (spiny chromis)
Lineage: Eukaryota; Metazoa; Chordata; Actinopteri; Pomacentridae
Exons: 2
Source: RefSeq, a predicted model, not a curated record
CGAUAAGUCUGCCACCAAUGAAAUUUGAGAUGGGCGUGGUUUUGACCUUUGGUCUGGGGCAGGGGCAGUCCUUUUUGGAGCCAAGCCGGCUUGGACACGCUGCUAACAGAAGGUGGUCUGUCUGAUGAGAAUGAGUCAGUAUAUGAAGAGGAAAAUGAAGAUGACAAUGAUGAUGUGCCACGCUUACCCCGGUGGAGAACACCCCACAGUGCCGUUUGUUGAAAUAAAACUUCUCAUGAAUUUA